This 253-nucleotide ribosomal RNA is filed under the name uncultured bacterium. Its description in RNAcentral is "partial 16S ribosomal RNA". It matches the Rfam family "Bacterial small subunit ribosomal RNA", at positions 524 to 776 of the family's 1533-position model. The record is from RNAcentral.
UACGAGUGCCCCAAGCGUUAUCCGGAAUCACUGGGCGUAAAGGGUGUGUAGGCGGCUUGGUUAGUCUCCUGUUAAAACCCUCGGCUUAACCGAGGAGAUGCAGGAGAGACGGCCAAACUCGAGGAGGUAAGGGGUCUAUGGAACUCAUGGUGUAGGGGUGAAAUCCGUUGAUAUCAUGGGGAACGCCAAAAGCGAAGGCAAUAGACUGGUACCUUCCUGACGCUGAAACACGAAAGCGUGGGGAUCAAACGGG